AGUGAACGCUGGCGGUAGGCCUAACACAUGCAAGUCGAACGGCAGCACAGUAAGAGCUUGCUCUUACGGGUGGCGAGUGGCGGACGGGUGAGGAAUACAUCGGAAUCUACUUUUUCGUGGGGGAUAACGUAGGGAAACUUACGCUAAUACCGCAUACGACCUACGGGUGAAAGCAGGGGAUCUUCGGACCUUGCGCGAUUGAAUGAGCCGAUGUCGGAUUAGCUAGUUGGCGGGGUAAAGGCCCACCAAGGCGACGAUCCGUAGCUGGUCUGAGAGGAUGAUCAGCCACACUGGAGCUGAGACACGGUCCAGACUCCUACGGGAGGCAGCAGUGGGGAAUAUUGGACAAUGGGCGCAAGCCUGAUCCAGCCAUACCGCGUGGGUGAAGAAGGCCUUCGGGUUGUAAAGCCCUUUUGUUGGGAAAGAAAGGCAGCAGGUUAAUACCCCGCUGUUCUGACGGUACCCAAAGAAUAAGCACCGGCUAACUUCGUG
RNAcentral lists this ribosomal RNA (492 nucleotides) under uncultured bacterium. RNAcentral's name for it is "partial 16S ribosomal RNA". It matches the Rfam family "Bacterial small subunit ribosomal RNA", at positions 29 to 507 of the family's 1533-position model. The record is from RNAcentral.